CCAAUAUACCAGAAUAGUGCAAAGGAUAAUAACGCAUAAAAAGAAUAAAAAAAAAAUCCAUUAUAUAUAUAAUACCUACCUGCAACACUCAUGCUAUUUAUAUCUGUAAAACUUAGCUUUUUCUCAUCGUUUAUACCAUUAGGUGUUUACUAUUUUGCACUUGUAUCGUCUGUUAGAGUUAGGUAUCAAGUGUUGUUUGUUUAAACUAUAGCAAAUUUAAACUUAGAGGCCGUUACUUUAAGUAAAUUCCAUAAGCUUUAGGCGAGGGUAUAAACCCUUUAUCGUUACUCAUGUCAGCAUUAUCACUUGGGUAAUCUAAUCUUAAGUCUUAAAAAGAAAAAAUCUGAGAUAUGCCCAAUGUUCCGCUACCCCAUAUAUAUUCUAUGUAACUUGUACAUAUAAAUAUUUAUGGACAAGGUCUCGGUAUAUUAUUUAGAUCCGCUAAAUCUUAGGUGCAUCUAACAAUACAUACAAAAUUGUAUAAAACCAGUGCUCUGUUACGAGGUCUUUAAAAAAUGGCCGCUCCUAAGCCCAUUUCCUGGUUGGCUUGGAUAAACACUACCUUAUUUUCACUUAACAAUAAUUUUGGAACC
RNAcentral lists this ribosomal RNA (593 nucleotides) under Rhizocarpon geographicum. RNAcentral's name for it is "partial large subunit ribosomal RNA". The record is from RNAcentral. Lineage: Eukaryota; Fungi; Ascomycota; Lecanoromycetes; Rhizocarpales; Rhizocarpaceae.